Molecule: RNA transcript, 2589 nt
Organism: Setaria italica (foxtail millet)
Lineage: Eukaryota; Viridiplantae; Streptophyta; Magnoliopsida; Poales; Poaceae
Gene name: protein ALP1-like
Exons: 3
Source: RefSeq, a predicted model, not a curated record
CACUCCCUUCCCCAUCCUGUCUCCUCCCACUCCCGCACACGCGCCGCCACUCCCUUCCCUCCCGUCUGGAUCUCGCCCCCUCCUCCGCUCCCUCCGCCGUGCCCGAUCCGCCGCUCCCUCCGGCGACGCGCCUCCGCCGCCCCUCUGCCGCUGCGCCUCCGCCGCCCCUCCGCCGCGCCCUCCGCCUCACUCACUCCUCCGCGCCCCUCCGCCGCGCCUCCUCCUCCGCAUCCAUCCGCAGCGCCCCCCCCUCGCCUCUCCCUCCGUCGCUCCCUACGCCGGUUCCUCCGCCGCUUCCUACGCCGCUCCAUCCGCCGACGCGACUCCGCCGCCCCGCCGCCGCUCCCUCCGCCGCGCCCCCUUUGUCGCCCUCCUUUUCCUCCCCACCACGCCGCCUUCCUUUCGUCGGCUCGUCGCCACUCCGCCGCCGCUCCCUCUGCCGCGCCCCCUCAGCCGCGCCUCCUCCGCCGUCCGUCCCUCGCGCCCCACUCCACGCCGCGCCCCACUCCGCCCCAGCUUCAGAUCUAGAAGCAGCGCGUCGUCAUGGACGGCAACGGCGACGACCACUUCUCGCAGCCGGAUCCGGCCUUCCCCUCCGGCGCCUUCGACCUGUACUCCCAGGCGGAUUCGUAUCAAGGACCACGAUCCGGGAUGCAGGCCUUGGAUCUGAACUCCCAGGUCGACGAGUUCCCCGCCUUCAGCUCGUACGCCGACAUCCUCCGGAGUGACCACGGCGGAGUUGCUCGAGGGGGCGGUGCUCGCACACCCGGGCUUCGCGUGGCCCACAAUGGCGGCGGAGACAGCAGAGGAGGAGGCGCCACGAGAGGUGGCGGCGCAAGUGCUGACAAGGGUCGCGGCGCCGGGGGGAGCAGAGGAUGCGGCGCCGCGAGAAGCAGAGGUGGUGGUGCAAACCGUGUCGGCGGCACUGGCGGUAGCAGAGGUCGUGGGCGGGCGACUAGGAACCUAUUCAUUGGUUCCGCGUCUGCUGGUGGUGCUGCCGGCGGCGGUGGACGCGGCGGUGGACGUGUGGGUGGCCGUCGUCGACGUGGAGGCAGUGACCAUGAAGAUUAUGUGUAUGCUGACGAAGGAUACGCGCCAGAGGUUGCUGAUGGCGUGGAAGUGAUAUUUCCUGGCUCUUCAAAGCUACUCAAUCCUCCCAAGUACUUUACACCUCUUAAUAUGAAAUGCUAGUGUGCUGGAAGACUUGCUUGGUUUGUUUACUAUACAUAUGGUUUCAACAAUGAAUAUGCUUCUUCGUUUUACUGGUCAUAUUAUUUGGGAAAUAUGGUUACAUGUGGUCAGGAUCCAUACCUCAUAUUGCACUGUCGUAAGAGGAAUCGGGAGUUCGUCCAAAUGAUGUUAACACUCGGUAUGUACUACGAAUCUUACAUACACAAAGCUCCAAGGAGGGUUGCAUCAGUGACGGGCAUUGAAUGGGUAACAGAAACAUUAUCAAAUCCGACCUCUUGUUAUAACAUGUUUAGGAUGAGUUGCCCAUUAUUUAAUCAACUUCAUGAUCUAUUAGUUGACUCAUAUGGUUUGAGAGCCACUCGAGAUAUGUCAACAGUGGAGGCCUUAGGAAUGUUCCUAUGGAUAUUAGGUGCACCGCAGUCACUUAGGCAAGUUGAGGAUCGAUUUGUGAGGUCGUUGGAGACAAUAAGCCGUACGUUCGACAAAGUGUUAGGCACUGUUCUUAAGCUAGCAGUACAUAAUAUUAGGCCACAGGACCCUGAAUUUAAGACGGUGCACAAGAGAUUACUCAACCCUCGGUUUGCUCCGUAUUUCAACAACUGUAUUGGAGCUAUUGAUGGGACACACGUUCCAGUCGUGGUGCCAAGUGAAAAGGUCAUGCAAUAUACAAACAGGCACGGGUAUACCUCACAGAAUGUGUUAGCUAUUUGUGACUUCGACAUGAGGUUUACAUUUGUUGUUAGUGGAUGGCCAGGAUCGGUCCAUGAUAUGAGAGUGUUCAGUGAUGCCAUAGAAAAAUACGGUGACAAGUUUCCACAUCCUCCUACAGGCAAGUUUUACCUUGUUGAUUCGGGGUAUCCAAACCGUCCCGGUUACCUAUCACCUUACAAGGGUACGAAGUACCAUCUACCGGAGUUUCGUAAUGGUCCAAUGCCCAGAGGUAUGCAAGAGACCUUUAAUUAUGCACAUUCAUCCCUUAGAAAUGUUAUCGAGAGGUCAUUCGGAGUUUUGAAGAUGAAGUGGAGGAUACUGAUGGGUAUACCAAGUUUUCCAAUGCACAAGCAAAGCAAAAUUAUUGUGGCUUGCAUGGCAAUUCACAAUUUUAUCCGAGAGAAUAGUGUUGCCGAUAGGGAAUUUGAUUUGUACGAUUGUGAUGAAAAUGGUGUCCCAAUGCCCGGAACUUCAAACCGCGGAGGAGGUGAGACAAGUACCCAAGUAGAAGAAGAAGAUAGCAACAUGAAUGCAUUUCGAGAUGAAAUAGCUCAUGCCUUGUACAAUAGGUCUAGAUAAAUUGAUUUCAAUGUUGUAAUGAUAAUGUAUUUGUAGUUUAAUUUUGGAGUUGUUGGACAUUGUAAUAGACAUAAAAUUCCCUUCUUAUGCACUGGUGUAUGACUGAAA